RNAcentral lists this non-coding RNA (24 nucleotides) under Arabidopsis thaliana (thale cress). The record is from RNAcentral. Lineage: Eukaryota; Viridiplantae; Streptophyta; Magnoliopsida; Brassicales; Brassicaceae.
AGCUAACUCUAACCUUUCUUCACA